UGAGGAAUAUUGCGCAAUGGGGGCAACCCUGACGCAGCAACGCCGCGUGAGCGAGGAAGGUUUUCGGACCGUAAAGCUCUGUCGAGCGGGAAGAAAUGCAUGGUGGCUAAUAUCCAUCAUGCUUGACGGUACCGCUAAAGGAAGCACCGGCUAACUCCGUGCCAGCAGCCGCGGUAAUACGGGGGGUGCGAGCGUUGUUCGGAAUUAUUGGGCGUAAAGAGCGUGUAGGCGGCCGAAUAAGUCAGAUGUGAAAUCCCUGAGCUUAACCCAGGACGUGCAUUUGAAACUAUUCGGCUGGAGUAGGGGAGAGGAAAGUGGAAUUCCUGGUGUAGAGGUGAAAUUCGUAGAUACCAGGAGGAACACCGGUGGCGAAGGCGACUUUCUGGCCCUAUACUGACGCUGAGACGCGAGAGCGUGGGUAGCAAACAG
Molecule: ribosomal RNA, 429 nt
Filed under: uncultured bacterium
Lineage: Bacteria
Description: bacterial SSU rRNA
Rfam family: Bacterial small subunit ribosomal RNA
Source: RNAcentral